Molecule: unclassified non-coding RNA, 313 nt
Filed under: Hevea brasiliensis (rubber tree)
Lineage: Eukaryota; Viridiplantae; Streptophyta; Magnoliopsida; Malpighiales; Euphorbiaceae
Source: RNAcentral
GCAGCGUGCUAACGAUCCAUCCUGCUCAAUGUUGCACACAAACGAUAAUUGAAACAGUAAAAGGUUUUAAUCAAUGGGAAGGGAGAAAAAAUAAAAGAAGUAGAAUAAGAAAACCAUCAUGAUCUCCAAUCAUGCAAGUAGCUAGUAAUGACGAACAAAGACUGAGUUACUUUUUCCCCCUAAUAGACAAGACUGAAUUUAUCAAUUCACCAAUUUCUUUAUUCUAUGGUGAAAAAACAAGCAUCCUGCUGUUUUUGCUGAUGCAUUCUCUGUCUCAUAAAGUUUGAAUCAAGUAAUAAACACAUGAUACCAG